This is a non-coding RNA of Phrynosoma platyrhinos (Desert horned lizard), 73 nucleotides long. The record is from the annotation of a GenBank genome assembly. Lineage: Eukaryota; Metazoa; Chordata; Lepidosauria; Squamata; Phrynosomatidae.
GGUGAUAUGGCUUAGUGGUUUGAGUGUUGGGACUAUGAUUCUGGAGACCAGGGUUUGAUUCCCAGCUUGGCCA